AAGGCUGUGGAUUGCCUGGUGGAUGCCUUUCGGGGAGGCAUCAGGUGGAGAUCUAGUAGAAGAAGGAGAAGAGGAUGUCGGAGAAGAUGAUCGGAGAUAGUCCCGUUGAGCACUCCUUUAAGAAUAAGGGUACUGCAAAGACACAGCCACCCUUCCUCUAGCGCCAAUUCUGUUGGUGCAGAAUUCCAUCGAAGCCAGAGAAGCUGGAGCUGAGAUGACCGCGGCCACCGUCGGGACCUACAAGGAAAGUCUAAACCAGAGUUGGGGGUGCUCCGGCAA
Molecule: long non-coding RNA, 279 nt
Filed under: Elaeis guineensis (African oil palm)
Lineage: Eukaryota; Viridiplantae; Streptophyta; Magnoliopsida; Arecales; Arecaceae
Description: long non-coding RNA (EGUI_LNC066779)
Source: RNAcentral